Long non-coding RNA from Triticum urartu, 2641 nucleotides. RefSeq lists it as uncharacterized. Lineage: Eukaryota; Viridiplantae; Streptophyta; Magnoliopsida; Poales; Poaceae. The record is from RefSeq and is a predicted model, not a curated record.
AACCGGGUGGUUCCUCCAAAUUGGCCGGACCACGCGGAACGCGUCUCUCUCGCGUCGUCCCCCACUCACCAACGAGGAAGGCGUCCCGCGCGGCGCCCCGCUCCCUCUCCCUCGAUGGGCAUGGCGGCGGCCAUACACCUCCCCCUCCUCUACGGCACCCCCUCGCCGCGGUUGGAUAUGCAGCCUUGUCGGCGUCUCCUUCCCCUCGCCGGAGAUGCAGCUUCGCCGCGUCUCCUGCCCCUCGACCAAGGAUCUAGGAAAGGACGGGGCGGCUCCCUCUCGAUCCGGCCUCUCCCUCGGCUCGCCCUCUGGAACGACGGCUCCUCCCCCGUCUUUCUCUCGUCAAGCAGCAGCUGAUUGCUCCCUCCUCCCGUUCCUCUCACCCAGUAGGCAGCAACGAUGGCAGGUCAGAUGCAGCCGAUUUGUUGGGAAGUAGAGCAGAUAAGCAGCGGUCGGCUCGGCCCGUUUCCUUCCCGGCAGCUAGCCGGCCGGUGGCAUCCAGACACCUGGGCGGUAGCAGCAAGAGAAGCAUCAGCGACGGCAAGAGCAAGCUCCUUCGAUUGACUCUUUCUAGCUUGGCAUUCUCCGUCCAAAAAUCAGUAGUACUCAACUUGAUUAGUGCUAGCUUUGUGUGCUCUGUGUUGAGACUGGUAGUAAUAAUUUUUGUUGUCAUUAAUACUUUGUGAUCUAGAUUUUGUGCUUCAUGAACAUUUGUUAUUUAUUUUCUGAAAAGUUGCUUUGACUACCAUUUUUAUAUAUAAACAAUCAAAUAUCAGGUUAUAUAUUUCAGUGAUAAAUCAUUGUGAAAUUAAAAUGUUGUUCAAAACUAUUUAUACUUUCGAGUGGAGUUAUAAAUUAUUGUGAGUGGAAUCAAAUUCAUUCGAUUCAAUCUCUCCAACCAAACACCGAAAUGUAACCAUUCCAUUCCAUCUACUGUGCUCAAGCAAACACAGAGACGGAACCGACCCAUUCUAGUGGAAUGGAACCAUGACAUUCCAUUCCACUUCGUUCCGCAACCAAACACACCCUUAUAUGCCUUUGUAAGGUAAUCAGUCGUGUAUGUCAAUGGCAGUGGUUUAAAAUACGUAAGCUGAUGCAUCUUGUGCUUGCUUGUCACUGUGUUUCUACUAGGCAAGGUCUGCAAUAGAUUAUAUAUAUAUUCAUUCAAAUAUGACGUGGUCUUCUUCCUUUGCCUUCGUUAACAUAUUUAUUUGGGCGUUCCUUUUCUCUGUACUUUGUUUGGGCAGUAUUUUUCCCUACACAUGUCCUUUUCGAUUAUAAGUUCAUGAGCUAAUUUGGUCAUAAUGUAACCCGGUCCUAAAAGUACUCUUGCACUGCAGAAUUCUCUUAUUUACAUGUUUGGUCACGAUAUAGCUCUGUCCUAAAUCUACUUUGCUUUCAGUUUGAAUCUGUCAUGACCUGGGUAGAUAUACUCUAGACCUUGAUAUAUGAGUACGUAAUGGAAGAAGUGGACAUCUUGGUCACUGCAGAUUUUCUCUGUUCAUUUAAAAAAGAGUGAAUUACAAAAUUUGUCAUGACCUGGAUAGAUAUACUCUAGACCUUGAUAUAUGAGUACAUAAUGGAAGAAGUGGACCUUGAUAUAUGAGGUAGCUAUUCAUCCAUCUUGCUUUUUAGAAAAUUUGUGACCACAGAGGCCGAAGACGCCACCCUGUAAUGUCGCGCUGAUGGUAGCCCAUACUGCUUUGCCGAUGAAUAAUAUCGUAAGCGUAACAGCUAAUGUUUGAAUUUUUCAUACCGCUUCAGCUAACCUAUGAAUAGGUCUGCACUCUGCACCUACAUAUUUUGAUGAUCGUACACUGUUGCCGUGGCUGGCCAAUAUGAUGAUAUGUUUAAUGAAGGUUUUGAAUAUUCUAUUCGCAUAGCUCUGACAGGUAAGGAUACUUUAGGUUGCAGCUCAACUAUGUAUCUGUGGAUAUUAAUCUUACAACAUUUUAUUUCUUCUGUUUUUGGACUUCAAAUUUCUGCGAAUUGUGGCUUAACUAUGAUACUUUAGGUCGCAUGCUAAACUAUGUAUAUGUGAAUUGUGGCUCAGCUAUGAGGUUUCUAAUGAACAUUUUGGGUAUUCUAUUACUACGUCUUUGAAAGGUUAGGAUACUUUAGGACUCAGCCAUGCCUCUCAGUUUCCCGCCUUCCCCACUAAGCCAGAAGAGGUGGUAUAGUGGAGCAAGCAUCAGGUACUAAUCAGGUUAUUGAUGCCGCCGGAUAGCUGUCGUUGGCUAUAAUGUGAUUAGCAGGUGCCAAGCCCUCCGACGCCCAGCUGUUCGCUGUUGUCUCUGCCCGAAGAAGGAUUAUGGUCCUCCACCUCUCUGCUACUCCUUUUAAAAUUCUGGUAAAAACACCGGCAUGUUGUUUGAGGUGCAUGCAUCGGUUGUAGCGAAGAUGUCCAUAUGACGAUGCAUUGCUAACCAUGGAGCACCGCAAGGAUUUAGAAUAUGUACCGCAACUUAGAGACUUGGCACAUUGCCACUUGCUCCUACCACCAUGCAAGUGGUCGAUGCUUUAGUGUUGAACUAUUAAUUAAUCCAUCGUUUUUCUUUAAUCUAUGUGAUGGUGCCCCUUGCCAUAAAUACUUGUUAUGUGGAUUCAAUAGAAAUGAUGUUUUAAGCAUGUUUGAUCGUUA